AGUGAACGCUAGCGGCGUGCCUAAUACAUGCCAGUCGAACGGAGUGGCGCACGGGUGAGUAAUGUAUAGCUAAUCUGCCCGACACUAGAGGACAACAGUUGGAAACGGCUGCUACUACUCUAUAGUGUAGGAUGAGGCUAUAUUGUAUCAGCUAGUUGGUGAGGUAAUGGCUCACCACGGCUAUGACGCAUAACUGGUCUGCGAGGAUGUUCAGUCACACUGGAACUGAGACACGGUCCAGACUCCUACGGGAGGCAGCAGUAGGGAAUAUUGCUCAAUGGGGGAACACCUGAAGCAUCAACGCCGCGUGGAGGAUGACACUGUUCGGAGCGUAAACUCCUUUUGUUAGGGAAGCGGUACCUAACUAAUAAGCACCGGCUAACUCCGUGCCAGCCGCCGCGGUAAUAC
RNAcentral lists this ribosomal RNA (408 nucleotides) under uncultured bacterium. RNAcentral's name for it is "partial 16S ribosomal RNA". It matches the Rfam family "Bacterial small subunit ribosomal RNA", at positions 29 to 526 of the family's 1533-position model. The record is from RNAcentral.